RNAcentral lists this ribosomal RNA (404 nucleotides) under Actinomycetes bacterium. Its description in RNAcentral is "Actinobacteria bacterium partial 16S ribosomal RNA". It matches the Rfam family "Bacterial small subunit ribosomal RNA", at positions 355 to 776 of the family's 1533-position model. Lineage: Bacteria; Bacillati; Actinomycetota; Actinomycetes. The record is from RNAcentral.
UGGGGAAUAUUGGACAAUGGGCGCAAGCCUGAUCCAGCCAUGCCGCGUGAGUGAUGAAGGCCCUAGGGUUGUAAAGCUCUUUCACCGGUGAAGAUAAUGACGGUAACCGGAGAAGAAGCCCCGGCUAACUUCGUGCCAGCAGCCGCGGUAAUACGAAGGGGGCUAGCGUUGUUCGGAUUUACUGGGCGUAAAGCGCACGUAGGCGGACUUUUAAGUCAGGGGUGAAAUCCCGGGGCUCAACCCCGGAACUGCCUUUGAUACUGGAAGUCUUGAGUAUGGUAGAAGUGAGUGGAAUUCCGAGUGGAGAGGUGGAAUUCGUAGAUAUUCGGAGGAACACCAGUGGCGAAGGCGGCUCACUGGGCCAUUACUGACGCUGAGGUGCGAAAGCGUGGGGAGCAAACAGG